Small nuclear RNA from Rattus norvegicus (Norway rat), 163 nucleotides. Ensembl annotates it as RNA, U1 small nuclear 18. Its record names the gene Rnu1-18. The record is from Ensembl. Lineage: Eukaryota; Metazoa; Chordata; Mammalia; Rodentia; Muridae.
AUACUUACCUGGCAGGGGAGACAACAUGAUCAUGAAAAUGGUUGUCUCAGAGCAAGUUUUAUCCAUUGCAUUCUCAAUGUGCUGACCCUCACAUUUUCCCAAAAUUCGAGAGACUCAGCUGGAUGGAUUGUGUAGUGGAAGACUGUUUUCACAUUAACUCCUA